AACCAGAAGGCGCAAUGAAAGUGAAGGCACGGUUGCCGUGCUGAGGUGAGAGCUGUCCCUGGCAGCACAUCAUCGACCGAUCCCAUCCGCACCCUCGUGGCGCGGCGGGAUUCGAGUAAGAGUGUACCUGUUGCGACCCGAAAGAUGGUGAACUAUGCCUGAAUAGGGUGAAGCCAGAGGAAACUCUGGUGGAGGCCCGUAGCGAUUCUGACGUGCAAAUCGAUCGUCAAAUUUGGGUAUAGGGGCGAAAGACUAAUCGAACCAUCUAGUAGCUGGUUCCCUCCGAAGUUUCCCUCAGGAUAGCUGUAGCCCGAAGCAGUUUUAUCAGGUAAAGCGAAUGAUUAGAGGUAUCGGGGAAGAAACUUCCUCGACCUAUUCUCAAACUUUAAAUAGGUAAGAAGUCCGACUUGCUUAAUUUGAAGCCGGA
RNAcentral lists this ribosomal RNA (427 nucleotides) under Demospongiae sp. G319581. Its description in RNAcentral is "eukaryotic LSU rRNA". It matches the Rfam family "Eukaryotic large subunit ribosomal RNA", at positions 705 to 1105 of the family's 3401-position model. Lineage: Eukaryota; Metazoa; Porifera; Demospongiae. The record is from RNAcentral.